CUGACCGUAAACAAUGCCAACUAGCGAUCCGCCGGCGGAUUUCAUCGCCCUGGUGGGGAGCUUCCCGGAAACGAAAGUCUUCCGGUUCCGGGGGAAGUAUGGUUGCAAAGCUGAAACUUAAAGGAAUUGACGGAAGGGCACCACCAGGAGUGGAGCCUGCGGCUUAAUUUGACUCAACACGGGGAAACUCACCCGGCCCGGACACCGUAAGGAUUGACAGAUUGAUAGCUUUUUCAUGAUUCGGUGGAUGGUGGUGCAUGGCCGUUCUUAGUUCGUGGAGCGAUUUGUCUGGUUUAUUCCGAUAACGAGCGAGACUCUGGCCUACUAAAUAGUUGGAGCAUUGCCGCUGUGCUCACACACUUCUUAGAGGGAUUGUCGGUGUUCAGCCGCACGAAAUUGAGCAAUAACAGGUCUGUGAUGCCCUUAGAUGUCCGGGGCUGCACGCGCGCUACACUGGCAAAAUCAGCGUGCUUGUCCUUGCCCGAGAGGGCGUGGUAAACCCGUGAAAAUUUGCCGUGAUUGGGAUCGGACAUUGCAAUUAUUGUCCGUGAACGAGGAAUUCCUUGUAGGGGCGAGUCAUCAGCUCGCUCUG
Molecule: ribosomal RNA, 592 nt
Filed under: Tylenchoidea sp. NK-2011a
Lineage: Eukaryota; Metazoa; Nematoda; Chromadorea; Rhabditida
Also listed under: 1 other name
Description: SSU rRNA
Rfam family: Eukaryotic small subunit ribosomal RNA
Source: RNAcentral